CGUGGCGAAGACCAAAGUUUCCUGUAGCAUGGUUGUGUUUCCUCUCUGGUCAAUGCCAUCCGCCCAAAUCUACAGACAUCCCGCGUGUUCCCGGGCUGACUGCUGGUCUCCCCAGUCCAGGGCGCCAAGGCACAGCCCUCUUGGAGACGGAUGGAAGCUCCUUGGGUCGACAGCUUCUGCAGCAGCCGGAGUCCCCUACUCCCUUCAAGCCCGUGGUGGGCGUCCACUGUCCGGGGAGAGGAUGCCUGGAAAUAAUAGCUUGGAUCUACAGUGGCCGUAAGAGAUGUCUCCAUCCUGAUGGACCACGGUGCUCCUGAGAGAGGAUUGUGCCCUGAGAUCUGGGGUGCAGUUUCUUCAGUUAGAGUUGGAAGUGUGUAAGGGUCAGGAGAGACGGUACACUCCAGAGUGCCAUGCCCUGAUGUGCCUUUGAGCAGCCAGCACCUCGGAUCAUCAGACCUGUCUGCCAAGAGCUCUGGUCUCUUCUCCAGAGAAGAAGUGGAUCCACUGGCUCAUAUACUCAGGAGGCCAUAGCAGGAUUGUCAGUUGAUCUCUGCCAUGUGUGCUCAACAGUUCUUGGCUUUCCAGAAGAAGCUGGAACAGGGCCCUUGAAGAUGAUUGUGGACACCAGAGGGCCAGGGAGUGGACAAGAAAGAAGACCAUGCUCAAAGUGAAACUGGAGAUACCGCCCCCAGCAUCAUGAAACAGCUUUUUACUUUAGGCAUUGGCUCAGGCAUGGAAGACUCCAGCAUACAAAGUCUUGACACCAGCCUCCCUGUGACCAUCUGCCAGUGCCUGGAAUGACUAGUGACAAGAACUUGUUGCCAACUUCCUGUUACCUCCCUAACAGCUGUGCAAUAAACCUCAGUUAAUUCAGUCUGCCUUUUAAA
This is a long non-coding RNA of Arvicanthis niloticus (Nile rat), 887 nucleotides long. RefSeq lists it as uncharacterized. Lineage: Eukaryota; Metazoa; Chordata; Mammalia; Rodentia; Muridae. The record is from RefSeq and is a predicted model, not a curated record.